Molecule: ribosomal RNA, 2089 nt
Filed under: marine sediment metagenome
Description: bacterial LSU rRNA
Rfam family: Bacterial large subunit ribosomal RNA
Source: RNAcentral
UCAAGCUACUAAGGGCGCACGGGGGAUGCCUUGGCGCCAAGAGCCGAUGAAGGGCGCGGCGAGACUGCGAUAAGCCUCGGUGAGCUGUCGGGCAAGCUGAGCCGGGGAUUCCCGAAUGGGGCAACCCACUCAGGUAAACCCUGAGUACUCCUAGCUGAACACAUAGGCUAGGAGGGGUAAGCGGGGGAACUGAAACAUCUAAGUACCCCGAGGAAAAGAAAUCAGAAGAGAUUCCCUGAGUAGUGGCGAACGAAAGGGGAUCAGCCCAAACCCUGAUGACUUAGUGGGCUCGAGCCUUAUGUCAUCAGGGGGUUGUAAGACAUGACUUGGAAAGGUCUCGAGGCCUUUCCGGGAGUUACAAACCGUAACCCUAGCCGAAGGUCUCUGGAACGAGCCGCCGCAGGGGGUGAAAGUCCCGUAGGCGAAAGGGGAAGGCUCCCGGUCAUGAUCUUGAGUACCACGGGACACGUGAAAUCUUGUGGGAAACUGGGGUGACCACGCUCCAAGGCUAAAUACUCUUGGCGACCGAUAGUGAACAAGUACCGUGAGGGAAAGGUGAAAAGAACCCCGAGAGGGGAGUGAAAAAGACCUGAAACCGUGUGCCUACAAGCAGUCAGAGGUUCGACUCGUUCGGACUAAUGGCGUGCCUAUUGAAGAAUGAGCCGACGAGUUAAUCUAUGUAGCUCGGUUAAGUCGUUUAAGCGACGGAGCCAUAGCGAAAGCGAGUCCGAAUAGGGCGAAGCCGCUUCGGCGGCAGGUUGCAUGGAUUAGACCCGAAGCCGGGUGAGCUAACCAUGGCCAGGGUGAAGGUCGCCUAACCGCGACUGGAGGCCCGAACCCACCAGUGAGGCAAAACUGGGGGAUGAGUUGUGGUUAGAGGUGAAAUGCCAACCGAACCCGGAGAUAGCUGGUUCUCCCCGAAAUGCAUUGAGGUGCAGCCUCGGGUGUUGAGUUGCGCAGGUAGGGCACUGGAUGGGCUAGGGGGCUAAAAGCUUACCAAACUCAACCAAACCACGAAUGGCGUAACUAGAGAGCCCGGGAGUGAGACGGUGGGGGAUAAGCUUCAUCGUCGAGAGGGAAACAGCCCAGACCAUCAGCUAAGGUCCCUAAGUGUAGGCUAAGUGGUAAAGGAUGUAGAAUUGCUCAGACAGCCAGGAUGUUGGCUUAGAGGCAGCCAUCAUUUAAAGAGUGCGUAAUAGCUCACUGGUCGAGUGGUUUUGCGCCGAAAAUGUAGCGGGGCUAAAGUCUACCACCGAAGCUAUGGGUCCGAUUUAUCGGGCGGUAGGGGAGCGUUGCCUCCGCAUCGAAGCUUCGUCGUGAGGCGGGGUGGAGUGGAGGGAAGUGAGAAUGUCGGCAUGAGUAGCGUCAGGCGUGUGAGAAACACGCCCACCGUAUGCCUAAGGUUUCCUACGCAAGGUUAUUCCGCGUAGGGUUAGUCGGGCCUAAGCCGAGGGCGAAAGCCGUAGGCGAUGGACAACUGGUCAAUAUUCCAGUACCGCUCGUUUUUUGUUAAAACUACGGGGGGACACAGGAAGGUAGGUUGAGCGUGCCCAUUGGACAUGGUGCGUCCCUGAUCGUAGGCGAGAGCCGAUAGGCAAAUCCGUCGGCUCGCUAAGCUGAGGAGAGGGGGAAGCUGAGGGGCAACCCGAGGCGAUUCGGCUGAGCCUAUACUGUCUAGAAAAGCCAUCGUAGCUGAAUUACGAGCGUCCGUACCGCAAACCGACUCUGGUAGGCGGGGGUGAGAGCCCUAAGGUGUUCGAGAGAACCCUCGUUAAGGAACUCGGCAAAUUAACUCCGUAACUUCGGGAGAAGGAGUGCCUCGAAGCGUGACGGGACUAGCUCCCCGAGCAGCUUUGAGGCCGCAGAGAACAGGCCCAGGCGACUGUUUAACAAAAACACAGGUCUCUGCUAAGGCGAAAGCCUAUGUAUAGGGGCUGACACCUGCCCAGUGCUGGAAGGUUAAGGGGAUGUGUCAUGGCUCUUCGGAGCCGGCAGCACUGAACUGAAGCCCCAGUGAACGGCGGCCGUAACUAUAACGGUCCUAAGGUAGCGAAAUCCCUUGUCGGGUAAGUUCCGACCCGCACGAAUG